UACGUAGGGUGCAAGCGUUAAUCGGAAUUACUGGGCGUAAAGCGCACGUAGGUGGUUUGCUAAGUCAGCUGUGAAAUCCCCGGGCUCAACCUGGGCACUGCAGUUGAAACUGGCAAGCUAGAGUAGGGUAGAGGGGUGUGGAAUUCCAGGUGUAGCGGUGAAAUGCGUAGAUAUCUGGAGGAACAUCAGUGGCGAAGGCGGCGACCUGGUCCUUUUACGUGACGCUG
RNAcentral lists this ribosomal RNA (227 nucleotides) under uncultured bacterium. RNAcentral describes it as "partial 16S ribosomal RNA". It matches the Rfam family "Bacterial small subunit ribosomal RNA", at positions 524 to 748 of the family's 1533-position model. The record is from RNAcentral.